This 251-nucleotide small RNA is filed under the name Escherichia marmotae. RNAcentral also lists the same sequence under 2 other names. Lineage: Bacteria; Pseudomonadati; Pseudomonadota; Gammaproteobacteria; Enterobacterales; Enterobacteriaceae. The record is from RNAcentral.
AGAGCGAGGACGCUAACAGGAAGAUGACUCAGGAUGAGGGUCAGGAGCGCCAGGAGGCGAAGACAGAGGAUUGUCAGGAAGACAAACGUCCGGAGACGUAAUUAAACGGAAAUGGAAUCAACACGGAAUGUUCUGGCUAAUGGAAAAACAGGGUGUGUUGGCGGCCUGCAAGGAUUGUAAGACCCGUUAAGGGUUAUGAGUCAGGAAAAAAGGCGACAGAGUAAUCUGUCGCCUUUUUUCUUUGCUUGCUU